This 57-nucleotide microRNA precursor is filed under the name Ciona intestinalis (vase tunicate). Its description in RNAcentral is "microRNA cin-mir-4044 precursor". The record is from miRBase by way of RNAcentral. Lineage: Eukaryota; Metazoa; Chordata; Ascidiacea; Phlebobranchia; Cionidae.
AGUUGGUAGACUGAUUUCAGUUCCCUUUUCUUUCGACUGAAAUAGGUCUGCUAACUA